GUUUUACCAUGUAGGCCAGGCUGGUCUUGAACUUCCAACCUCAAGUGAUCCGCCCACCUCAGCCUCCCAAAGUGCUGGGAUUACAGGCAUGAGCCACCAGGAUUUUCUAAGUAUAGAAUUAUAUCAUCAGUGAAGAGACAUAGUUGGACUUCUUUGCUUAUUUAAAUGCCUUUUAUUUCUUUCUCUAGCCUGAUUGCUCUGGCAAGGACUUCCAUCACUGUGUUGAAUACGAGUGUUGAGAGUGGGCAUCCUUGUCUUGCUCCAAGAUAAAAGGUAAAUAGUUUAAGCUUUUAUCCAUUCAUUAUGAUGUUGGAUUUCAAUUUGUUAUAAAUGGUUCUUAUUAUUAUGAAGUACAUUGCUUGACACCUAGUCUGUUGGAGUUUUUAUCAUGAAAGGAUGUUGGAUUUUUAUCAGAAGCUUUUUCUGCACCUAUUGAGAUGAUCAUAUAGUUGUGCUUUUAAUUCUGUUUAUGUGGUGAAUCACACUUAUUGAUUUGCAUAUACUGAGCCAGCCUUGCAGUCCAGGAAUAAGCCUGUUUGAUCACACUGUAUUAACUUUUUGUUGUGCUGUUGGAUUUGUUUUGCUAAUAUUUUGAUGAGGAUUUUUGUGUCUAUGUUCAUAAGGGAUAUUGGCCUUAAGAUUUCUUUUUUUGUUGUGUCUUUGCCAGAUUCUGGUAUCAGGCUAAUGCUGGCUAGAUAGAAUGAAUUACAGAGGAGACCCUCCUCCUCGAUUUCUUUGGAAUAGUUUCAGUAGGCUUAGUAUCAGUUCUUUGAAUAUCUGGUAGAAUUCAGCCAUGAAUUCAUCUGGUCCAGGGGUUUUUUUUUUUUUUUUUGGUUGGUAGGUUCUUUAUUAUGAUUUAAUUUCAGAAGCUGAUAUUGGUCUACUUAGGAUUUCAAUCUCUUCCUGAUGCAAUUUUGGGAGAUUGUACACUUUCAGGAAUUUUUCCAUUUUCCCUAAAUUUUCUAAUUUGUGUGCAUAGAGUUAUUCAUGGUAGUCUCUGAGGAUCUUUUGUAUUUCUGUGGAAUCAGUUGUCAUACAAUCUUUGUUGAUUCUGAUUGUGCUUAUUUGGAUUUUAUCUUUCUUUUUCUUUGUUAAUCUAGCUAGUGGUCUAUCAA
RNAcentral lists this long non-coding RNA (1115 nucleotides) under Homo sapiens (human). RNAcentral describes it as "HSALNT0047732". Lineage: Eukaryota; Metazoa; Chordata; Mammalia; Primates; Hominidae. The record is from RNAcentral.